RNAcentral lists this ribosomal RNA (361 nucleotides) under uncultured bacterium. RNAcentral describes it as "bacterial SSU rRNA". It matches the Rfam family "Bacterial small subunit ribosomal RNA", at positions 29 to 382 of the family's 1533-position model. The record is from RNAcentral.
AUUGAACGCUGGCGGCAGGCCUAACACAUGCAAGUCGAACGGCAGCACAGAAGAGCUUGCUCUUUGGGUGGCGAGUGGCGGACGGGUGAGUAACACGUAGGAAUCUACCCAGUAGUGGGGGAUAACCUGGGGAAACCCAGGCUAAUACCGCAUACGCCCUGAGGGGGAAAGCGGGGGAUCUUCGGACCUCGCGCUAUUGGAUGAGCCUGCGUCGGAUUAGCUAGUUGGUGGGGUAAGGGCCCACCAAGGCGACGAUCCGUAGCUGGUCUGAGAGGAUGACCAGUCACACCGGAACUGAGACGACGGUCCGACUCCGUACGGGAGGCAGCAGGGUGGGGAAUUAGUUGGAACAAGUCGGGGC